Centrocercus urophasianus (Greater sage-grouse) is the source of this 370-nucleotide long non-coding RNA. RefSeq lists it as uncharacterized. The record is from RefSeq and is a predicted model, not a curated record. NCBI's taxonomy places the organism in Eukaryota, Metazoa, Chordata, Aves, Galliformes, Phasianidae. The transcript is spliced from 3 exons.
CCGACCCCGGCGGCAGCGGCAGCGGCAGCGGCACGGCGAGCAGCAUUGUUCUAAAGUGGAGUUACGGCUCUUCCGUGCCUUGCCCUUCUAUGACAAGUGACAUAUUUUGGUACAGUCAUUGUGGACAGACCAGUGAUGGUGAUCUGCAGGGCUUUGGUGUGAUAGCAACGGUGGCAGCAGCUCUCCAAACACUGCGCUGUUGCUCUUCAUGGUGCUGGGAUCCCAGGAGGACUUCGGCUUAAGUUUUCUUUCUCCUCCCUUCCUUCCCGUCAAGGACACAGACUUUGGCUAUAUUUUUCAUAAUUGUGUGAAGCUAGAAACCUGACGGAUGCCUGUGCCACCUCCGCCACCUCCUCCUCCACCACCUCCA